RNA transcript from Phoenix dactylifera (date palm), 1310 nucleotides. It is a transcript of the gene named DUF1997 family protein, putative (DUF1997), with no coding region annotated. The record is from RefSeq and is a predicted model, not a curated record. Lineage: Eukaryota; Viridiplantae; Streptophyta; Magnoliopsida; Arecales; Arecaceae.
AUAAGAGACCGGUCCCUUCUUUUUUAAAUCCAAUCUGUUUCCGCCUCGGCUGUUGUGAUUGACGGUGGGCAAGCGUCUCGCGUGCGCCAAACGCAGAAUGAUUGCCCAGGGGGUGCUGCCAUUCCCUGCCGCUCCUCCUCCUCCUCUCCUUCUCCCCUGCAGCACCACCACCCUCGUCAGGUCUGUUUGGUUCUCUGUCUCUGUCUAUCCUAAUAAAUUUGCAAGAGCGAAAAAAGAAGCAACAAAGAAAAGGGAGGGCGAGAGAGUCGGGACUCCGGAUCACGCAUACGCUGCCCUCUCCAGCAAAAUCUCCCGGACCGACCGGAUGAAUUGGGACUCGAGGAGGAGACGGAGAUGUGAAGCGGUGACCAAGGCCGAGAACCCGGGAGGGGACGAACUGGGUGCCAGGACGAGGACGGCUUAUCUGUCCGCGCGACGCAAGGAGAGGAUCGAGCUCCCCGACUACGGGGGCCCCAUCACGUUCAGCGAUUUCGUCAACCACCCUUCCGGCGUGGAAGCCCUCCUAAACACUCGAGCCUUGCACAGCUUUCGGCCCUUGGAUUCCAACACCUACAGGUGCACCUUGCAAAAGAUCCAGUUCCUCAAGUUUGAAGUGGCCCCCGUGCUAGACUUACGCGUGACCCCGACAAGAGAAGGCUGCACGGUCGAGAUGGUGGAUUGCAGGUUUGAGGGUUCUGGAAUAGUAGAGCAGCAAAAUCAUGUUUUUUCAGUCUCCUGCCUGGUCAGUGAUAGCUGUGGAGUCCAAAAAAGCAUUUGUGAGAAACCAUAUAACUUGGGAGAGAAAUGGUUCUGAGCCAUGCUUGGAUGUGGACGUGAAUUUAAAAGUUUCCCUUGAGGUCUAUACAAAACCCUUUAACUUGCUUCCACUAUCAGCAGUGGAAAAACCUGGAAACCUGCUUAUGCAAGGUCUUCUUGACAGGCUUGUCCCUUUGCUUGUUGAGCAGCUACUCGAUGACUACCGCACUUGGGUCAGCGAGCAGUUUCGAGUUUCUUCAUGAAUUCUCCUGUAUAGUCCUUGUAUUUAGGAGUUUCCUCAUGUGGUCAACGCACAGAAAUUGGCCUAAAGCGGUGCAUGGAUAUUACACAUUUAGAGAGCAUCAAUAGUAGAUUUUUCCAAUCUCCUUGUGCUGAUCCUUUUCUGAUUUAUCACUAAUUGUGUGAUUCAGUUCCGACAUUCUUCAAGGACGAUUUCAAGAAAUUAAUAAGUAUGGUUCAAUUAUGGAUCAUCUUACAAUCAUAUGCAAGAUCUCAAAUGCUAGAUUAAAGUCAAGAAGGAUAUUCAUUUGCCA